Molecule: ribosomal RNA, 505 nt
Filed under: uncultured bacterium
Lineage: Bacteria
Description: partial 16S ribosomal RNA
Rfam family: Bacterial small subunit ribosomal RNA
Source: RNAcentral
GACGAACGCUGGCGGCGUGCCUAAUACAUGCAAGUAGGACGCACAGUCUAUACCGUAGCUUGCUACACCAUAGGCUGUGAGUUGCGAACGGGUGAGUAACGCGUAGGUAACCUGCCUAUUAGAGGGGGAUAACUAUUGGAAACGAUAGCUAAUACCGCAUAACAGUAUGUAACACAUGUUAGAUGCUUGAAAGAUGCAAUUGCAUCGCUAGUAGAUGGACCUGCGUUGUAUUAGCUAGUAGGUAGGGUAAUGGCCUGCCUAGGCGACGAUACAUAGCCGACCUGAGAGGGUGAUCGGCCACACUGGGACUGAGACACGGCCCAGACUCCUACGGGAGGCAGCAGUAGGGAAUCUUCGGCAAUGGGGGGAACCCUGACCGAGCAACGCCGCGUGAGUGAAGAAGGUUUUCGGAUCGUAAAGCUCUGUUGUUAAGGAAGAACGAGUGUGAGAAUGGAAAGUUCAUACUGUGACGGUACUUAACCAGAAAGGGACGGCUAACUACGUG